Molecule: RNA transcript, 2496 nt
Organism: Anolis carolinensis (green anole)
Lineage: Eukaryota; Metazoa; Chordata; Lepidosauria; Squamata; Anolidae
Gene name: E3 ubiquitin-protein ligase TRIM58
Exons: 6
Source: RefSeq, a predicted model, not a curated record
GGCCCUCGGACUACACGGCGAAAUUACCUAGGGCCGCUUCUGUUUGCAUCCCUUCUGAAUAAACCUCUGUGGCUUGUCUUCAGCAUGCUGAGUGUUCCUUUUAUCCGUGGUCCUAGUUAAUCCACUUCAUGUCUGUGUGUGAACGUCAAGGUGUCACACUCCCAAGCCAGGAAGAGUCUUUCCCAAAUGUUUUGCUUCAGUGGCAUUGCUGUGAGACAGACAUUACAGUGUGCAAUUGCUCAGCAGGCUGGAUAGAAAGUCAUGUGCGCCUACAUCUUACAACACAAAAGUGACGCUGACAUCACUCGUCUAUGGGUCUGUUUUCCAGGCAAGAAACGCACUUGACCAUUCCUGCCCGUUGCCUCUACCAAACUCAUGUGAAUGGAUCCCAGGCAGUUCAACAGAACGUGUACUUCUGGACCCCAGGACUGCUCAUCGACGGAUCAUCAUCUCUCCAGAUCAGAGGAGUGCGAAAUGGGGACCAAUAGAGCAGCCCCUUCCCAACAACACUGAACGAUUUGACCAAUGGGUUUGGGUCUUGGGUAAUAAAGGUUACCCUUCAGGAAAACAUUGCUGGGAGGUUGAAGUGAAGGGCAAUGGGGAAUGGGCCGUGGGGGUCGCCAAGGAGUCAGUGAAAAGAAAAGGGUUGCCUGAUUUUAGCACCACUGAGGGCAUCUGGGGCAUUGGGGAAUACUGGGGGCUGGGUAACUAUUUAGCUUUCACAUAACUCCCAGGAUUCCAUAACUAAGUCAUUGCAGUUAAAGUUACAAUGAAUUAAUUCUACAGUGUUGAUGGAUGCACAUUGCCAUAUAAUCCAGUUUCAGAAUGCAAAUAAACAGCAUUAUUCCAGGUGAGGUCUGACCAAAGCAGAAUAGAGUGGGACUGUGACUUCUUUAGUUCUGGAUGCUCUACUCCUAUGAUGCAUCCUAGCAUUGGCUUUUUAGCUGCUGCAUCACACCACUGACUUAUAUUGAGCUGGUCCUCUAUUAAAUAAUAUCCUUGAUCCCUAAAGAGACUUUGGAUGCAUCUACACUGCCACAUAAUCCACGAUAGGAAGAAUCUUUCCCAAAUGUUUUGCUUCAGUGGCAUUGCUGUGAGACAGACAUUACAGUGUGCAAUUGCUCAGCAGGCUGGAUAGAAAGUCAUGUGCGCCUACAUCUUACAACACAAAAGUUGUAACGCUGACAUCACUCGUCUAUGGGUCUGAUUCAUCUUCCAACUGUUGCAAAAUCACAACGAUCGUUUCCCUGAUAGGAAGCCUUGCUCUGAAUGUAGCUCUAAUUAUUCUUAUUAUAGUUUUCCAGGUGAGAAACGCACCUACCAGUUCCUGCCCGUUGCCUCUACCAAACUCAUGUGAAUGGAUCCCAGGCAGUUCAACAGAACGUGUACUUCUGGACCCCAGGACUGCUCAUCGACGGAUCAUCAUCUCUCCAGAUCAGAGGAGUGCGAAAUGGGGACCAGUAGAGCAGCCCCUUCCCAACAACACUGAACGAUUUGACCAACGGGUUUGGGUCCUGGGUAAUAAAGGUUACCCUUCAGGAAAACACUGCUGGGAGGUUGAAGUGAAGGGCAAUGGGGAAUGGGCCGUGGGGGUCGCCAAGGAGUCAGUGAAAAGAAAAGGGUUGCCUGAUUUUAGCACCACUGAGGGCAUCUGGGGCAUUGGGGAAUACUGGGGGCUGGGUAACUAUUUAGCUUUCACAGCCCCACAGCACACCCCACUUCCCCUUGUCAAAAAGCCCCGGAUGAUUCGGGUCUUUCUGGACCACGGCCAAGGAAGUGUGGAAUUUUUCGAUGCAGAAGCCAAAGCGUCCAUCUACACUUUCACUUCAGCCCCAUUUUCGGGGGAAACAAUCUUACCCUGGUUCCGUGUGUGGAAUGGAACUGAACUUGUCCUACAUCCCUGAGACGUUGCCAUUGGCACCAAACUGGUCCUUCUAUAUGUAGACUGGGGCAUCUUGCUGCAUUCAUAGACUGCCUCUCCACAUUGGAGAGGAGUGGGUGAUGGGGCCACCUUGCAUUUUGGCAAACAACUCCUAUCAGCCCUAAUGAGGAAUGAUGGGAGAUGUAGUCCAAAGGCUUUCAAAAGGUCACUGUCACCUCCGUAUCGCCACACCAUUGCAAUGCUCAAAUCCUAAAAUAGGAAGGAUGGUGAUAAUAUAGUUGAUUCUCUGUUGUUAAUAAGUAGCUUUGGCCAUGGAGAUCCUCUAGCUACAGAGGCAAAUGAGUAUGAAGGACACACUGAUGGGAAGGGGUAGGGGUGGGAGUUGGUGAGUAUAUUUUGUUUUAAAUGUAAUUUUAAUUGUAUGAGUCUUUUUAUUGUAUCAUAAUUGUACUUUAACCUGUAUCCAUAACACAAAUUGUUUUUAAUUUUUGUAUUUGUCAUGUUUUUACAUUGAUUGGGUUGUGUCAUGUUAUUCCAAGCUGCCUUAUGUCCUCAUGGGAAGAAAGGUGGGGUAGAAAUAAAGUUAAAAAUAAAUACAAUAAACAUAAAUCUGG